RNAcentral lists this ribosomal RNA (423 nucleotides) under uncultured bacterium. RNAcentral's name for it is "bacterial SSU rRNA". It matches the Rfam family "Bacterial small subunit ribosomal RNA", at positions 356 to 772 of the family's 1533-position model. The record is from RNAcentral.
CGAGAAUUUUUCUCAAUGGGGGAAACCCUGAAGGAGCGACGCCGCGUGGAGGAUGAAGGUCUUCGGAUUGUAAACUCCUGUCAUUUGGGAACAAUUGUCACCGGUUAACUGCCGGGGGCUUGAUAGUACCAGAAGAGGAAGAGACGGCUAACUCUGUGCCAGCAGCCGCGGGAAUACAGAGGUCUCAAGCGUUGUUCGGAUUCAUUGGGCGUAAAGGGUGCGUAGGUGGCGGGGUAAGUCAGGUGUGAAAUCUCGGGGCUCAACCCCGAAACUGCACUUGAUACUGCCUUGCUCGAGUACUGGGGAGGAGAUUGGAAUUUACGGUGUAGCAGUGAAAUGCGUAGAUAUCGUAAGGAAGACCAGUGGCGAAGGCGAAUCUCUGGACAGUUACUGACACUGAGGCACGAAGGCCAGGGGAGCAAA